AUUGAACGCUGGCGGCAGGCCUAACACAUGCAAGUCGAACGAGUGGCGGACGGGUGAGUAAUGUCUGGGAAACUGCCCGAUGGAGGGGGAUAACUACUGGAAACGGUAGCUAAUACCGCAUACCAUCGGAUGUGCCCAGAUGGGAUUAGCUAGUAGGUGGGGUAACGGCUCACCUAGGCGACGAUCCCUAGCUGGUUUGAGCGGAUGACCAGCCACGUUGGAGCUGUGACACGGUCCAGAUGCCUACGUGAGGCAGCAGGGGGGAAUAUUGCACAAUGGGCGCAAGCCUGGUGUAGUCAGGCCGCGUGUAUGAAGAAGGCUUUCGGGUUGUAAAGUGCUUUCAGCGAGGGCGCGUUACUCGCAGAAAAAGCACCGGCUAAAUCCGUGCCAGCAGCCGCGGUAAUUC
RNAcentral lists this ribosomal RNA (406 nucleotides) under uncultured bacterium. Its description in RNAcentral is "partial 16S ribosomal RNA". It matches the Rfam family "Bacterial small subunit ribosomal RNA", at positions 30 to 526 of the family's 1533-position model. The record is from RNAcentral.